This 468-nucleotide ribosomal RNA is filed under the name uncultured bacterium. RNAcentral's name for it is "partial 16S ribosomal RNA". It matches the Rfam family "Bacterial small subunit ribosomal RNA", at positions 28 to 507 of the family's 1533-position model. The record is from RNAcentral.
GAUGAACGCUGGCGGCGUGCCUAACACAUGCAAGUCGAACGGAAAGACCCUGCUUUUGCCUGGUUUCAGAGUGGGGCGGGUGUGUGUAACACGUGAGUAUCCCUCCCUUUGCUGUGUGAUAUCUUCAGGCAACUGCUGCUACUACAUGCGAGCAGCUCCUGCAGCAUGGGGGUCGUUGGAAAUCUUCGGCGGUGGUGGAUGGAGUGGCGGUUUAUGAGCUUGUUGGUGGAGUAGUUGCUUACCAAGGCUUCGGCGGGUAGCCGGCCUGAGAGGGUGACCAGCCACAUUGGGACUGAGGUACGGAGCAGACGGCUACGGGAGGCAACAGGGGGGAAUAUGGCACAAUGGGGGGAAGUGUGAGGCGAAAACGCCGGGAGCGGGAAGACGGCCUUCGGGUUGUAAACCGCUUUCGCCUGUGACGAAGCGGGAGUGACGGUAAUGGGUAAAGAAGCACCGGCUAACUACGUG